This 490-nucleotide transfer RNA is filed under the name uncultured bacterium NAZ5. Its description in RNAcentral is "16S-23S intergenic spacer region". The stretch from base 133 to 205 matches the Rfam family "tRNA". Lineage: Bacteria; Pseudomonadati; Pseudomonadota; Betaproteobacteria. The record is from RNAcentral.
UUUAAGGAGAGAGUUAGCCAUUUUGAUGGCCUAACUCAUGGUCGAAGGAAGCAAGAGCUUCCGGGUUCCAGUUGAUCGCACAAAGUAAAUAUCUAGAACCAAAAGUUCUUUACAGCAUAGCCGACCAAUUUCGGGGUCGUAGCUCAGUUGGUAGAGCAUCUGCUUUGCAAGCAGAGGGUCGCGAGUUCGAAUCUCGCCGGCUCCACCAAAUUGGGUUGGCGAAACCGAUCUUGGUUAAUACUGCCACUUUCUCAGACCUUGGGCUCAUAGCUCAGUUGGUUAGAGCACGCGCUUGAUAAGCGCGGGGUCGAUGGUUCAAGUCCAUCUGGGCCCACCAUUUUAAACCGGCUAGGUUUAAACGGGGGGUGGGUUGGAUGGCGGCAGUCACCGGCUAAUCGCUGCAAUAAAUUUCGUUCUUUGAAAGUUCAGACAAACAGAAAUGUAAUUGUGUAAGAAGGUAAGAUAAACGCCUAGAAUACUAGUGUGUUUG